RNAcentral lists this transfer RNA (73 nucleotides) under Camelus ferus (Wild Bactrian camel). It matches the Rfam family "tRNA". Rfam says of the family: Transfer RNA (tRNA) molecules are approximately 80 nucleotides in length. Their secondary structure includes four short double-helical elements and three loops (D, anti-codon, and T loops). Further hydrogen bonds mediate the characteristic L-shaped molecular structure. tRNAs have two regions of fundamental functional importance: the anti-codon, which is responsible for specific mRNA codon recognition, and the 3' end, to which the tRNAs corresponding amino acid is attached (by aminoacyl-tRNA synthetases). tRNAs cope with the degeneracy of the genetic code in two manners: having more than one tRNA (with a specific anti-codon) for a particular amino acid; and 'wobble' base-pairing, i.e. permitting non-standard base-pairing at the 3rd anti-codon position. Lineage: Eukaryota; Metazoa; Chordata; Mammalia; Artiodactyla; Camelidae. The record is from Rfam by way of RNAcentral.
GAAGGUAUAACUCAGUGAUAAAAGUGCAUGCCUAGCAUGCACAAGAUCCUGGGUUCAAUCCCCAGUACCUCCA